UUUCCGUAGGCGAACCUGCGGAAGGAUCAUUACAGAGUUCAUGCCCUCACGGGUAGAUCUCCCACCCUUGAAUAUUUAUACCUUAGUUGCUUUGGCAGGCCGUGGAAACACCAUGGGCUCCGGCUUAUGCGUGCCUGCCGGAGGAAACAAACUCUGUUUUUAGUGAUGUCUGAGUACUAUAUAAUAGUUAAAACUUUCAACAACGGAUCUCUUGGUUCUGGCAUAGAUGAAGAACGCAGC
Molecule: unclassified non-coding RNA, 240 nt
Filed under: plant metagenome
Description: partial contains small subunit ribosomal RNA, internal transcribed spacer 1, and 5.8S ribosomal RNA
Rfam family: 5.8S ribosomal RNA (bases 192-240)
Source: RNAcentral